CGCACAUUCGUUUCAGAAAUAUAGAGAAUAUACGCAUUCAAAUAUUUAGCCUACACAAGUUAUAAGUCAGAUAAUAAACAAAUAAAACAAGUCAUAAGUCAGAUUUAACUCCUAAUUCAAUAAAACACUGAUACUAACUUGGUUGCAGGUUUAAAGUAUAUCAAAAAUACAGCAUUUUCUCUUCCCAAUUACUUCAUAUACGAGUGUUAUAGUCUCCUGUUUAUCAAAUCCACUUUAGUUCAAGAUUUAUUAUGCUUAUAGAGCAAGUCGUCGGUCUAGCCUCGCCGAAGGCCCAAAAAUGCAACACUUCUCAAAGGUGUGAACUUUCAUAAAUGGUUG
Non-coding RNA from Paramuricea clavata, 339 nucleotides. Lineage: Eukaryota; Metazoa; Cnidaria; Anthozoa; Malacalcyonacea; Plexauridae. The record is from the annotation of a GenBank genome assembly.